This is a long non-coding RNA of Portunus trituberculatus (swimming crab), 1015 nucleotides long. RefSeq lists it as uncharacterized. The record is from RefSeq and is a predicted model, not a curated record. The transcript is spliced from 2 exons. NCBI's taxonomy places the organism in Eukaryota, Metazoa, Arthropoda, Malacostraca, Decapoda, Portunidae.
AUGCACACACACAUACAAACAUAAACACACAUACAUACAUACAUACAUACAUACAUCGUGCAUCGUCCUCCUUUCACCAUCAUCUUUUUACCCUCUCCUAUGUUGUUUUAUUUUGUGUGUUUAGAUAUCAGAACGAAUUAAGUUGUAUCUCUGUAAUAAAUGUUCAGUUAAUGCAUGUGUUUGUUAUCAAUGAAAGUGUGUCUGUCUGUCUAUCUGUCCAUUUGUGUUGUCACUGGAGAGGCAGCGAGAAAAGUCGUGUAUGUCGUGAUGGCUCCAAGGGGUCGUGAAAUGUGCUAGAGAAGGACGCAAGUGUGAAGGGAGGGUCGUGUUAUUACGUGGAGAUGAUGACACGACACGCUAGAUAAGAUACAGGUUUAGGAGGACCGUGUCUUAACCCCAUCAAUAUUGAAACACAUUUUUACCUUGAAUUUUUAGGUAUGAUUAGAUUAUUUUAUUUGCACUAAGAAGGGUCUAUGGAGGUCAGAAGAUUAAUGGCCACAGUCUUCACUAUUUGAACCCCGCACAUGAGUUUCUGAAGCUGUAUAAAAUCACCAAAUAGUCACCAGAAAAAAACAUGAAAACGCGUCCUGGUACUAAAAAGAUUACGUGAAGAUCUUGACAUGACUUGAUAGAUAAGAUACAGGUGGUUAAUGGUGACUGGGGAAGUGUGUAUGUGUGUUACCGUGCUACUGUGUGCUAUUUGGUCCAGCGGCAUUGGUAGACAGCAGAGUGUGUGUUCAGUGUUCAGAAAGCGGUAUUACGAUUAAAAUCCAGACAUUGCUCUAAGCUCUUAACCUCCAAACGCCGAGCCUCAUCGCUUGAUACGUAUGAGAGAGAGAGAGAGAGAGAGAGAGAGAGAGAAUCAUUGCUUGUCUAUUCGUAGGAUAUAAAGAAGAGCAAAUAAGUUGAAGAAGAAGAAGAAGAAGAAAAGGAGGAGGUGGAUAAGGAAAUAUAUAAAACAAAAAACAAGAGAGAAAAAAAAUAAAAAGUGAGAAAGAAAGAAAACGAAGAGGGA